Passer domesticus (house sparrow) is the source of this 447-nucleotide long non-coding RNA. RefSeq lists it as uncharacterized. The transcript is spliced from 3 exons. The record is from RefSeq and is a predicted model, not a curated record. Lineage: Eukaryota; Metazoa; Chordata; Aves; Passeriformes; Passeridae.
AUUGAGUGGAACUAACAGCUCACAGUAAUGGAACUGCUCUCCGGAGAACACAAUAUGUAUCACUACCUCAUAAGAGAUACAACUGGAACAGAGCAAACUUCAAAUGAGCAAAGGAACCAGGGUGAAGCUAUUCUUUUAUCCAUGCCAGGACCAGAAAAAAAUCUAAGAGAAGCUUAAGAAAAGCAUCUCAAAAGAAGAGUUUUAAUCCUACCUUUCAUGCCAGUGCAGUGCCUGUUAACCUCGCUGUACAGGGAGUUCAGUCUACACAGCCUCAUAAAAUCAAUGUUCUUCAAAGAAGAAUUCUGCAAAUUAUGUCUAUCAGCACAGCAAAGGAGAACUGAUCAUUGAAGCUAGGAUUCAAGAAGUAAUCUAUUUGCUUAUGAACUGUCACCUAACCCCAACAGGUUAGUUAUUGCUCUCACUCAAACCUAUACAAGCCAAGGUAGC